ACGGGUGAGUAAUGUAUCGGAACAUGUCCGGAAGUGGGGGAUAACGUAGCGAAAGUUACGCUAAUACCGCAUAUGCCCUGAGGGGGAAAGGUGGGGAUCGCAAGACCUAUCGCUUUCGGAGUGGCCGAUAUCAGAUUAGCUAGUUGGUGAGGUAAAGGCUCACCAAGGCGACGAUCUGUAGCUGGUCUGAGAGGACGACCAGCCACACUGGGACUGAGACACGGCCCAGACUCCUACGGGAGGCAGCAGUGGGGAAUUUUGGACAAUGGGGGCAACCCUGAUCCAGCCAUGCCGCGUGAGUGAAGAAGGCCUUCGGGUUGUAAAGCUCUUUCAGAUGGAAAGAAAUCGUGCAGGCCAAUACCCUGCAUGGAUGACGGUACCGUCAGAAGAAGCACCGGCUAACUACGUGCCAGCAGCCGCGGUAAUACGUAGGGUGCGAGCGUUAAUCGGAAUUACUGGGCGUAAAGCGUGCGCAGGCGGUUUUGUAAGACAGGUGUGAAAUCCCCGGGCUUAACCUGGGAACUGCACUUGUGACUGCAAGGCUAGAGUGUGGCAGAGGGGGGUAGAAUUCCACGUGUAGCAGUGA
This 586-nucleotide ribosomal RNA is filed under the name uncultured bacterium. Its description in RNAcentral is "bacterial SSU rRNA". It matches the Rfam family "Bacterial small subunit ribosomal RNA", at positions 102 to 684 of the family's 1533-position model. The record is from RNAcentral.